UAGGGAAUCUUCCGCAAUGGACGCAAGUCUGACGGAGCAACGCCGCGUGAGUGAAGAAGGAUUUCGGUUCGUAAAACUCUGUUGUUAGAGAAGAACAGCGCAUAGAGUAACUGUUAUGCGUGUGACGGUAUCUAACCAGAAAGCCACGGCUAACUACGUGCCAGCAGCCGCGGUAAUACGUAGGUGGCAAGCGUUGUCCGGAUUUAUUGGGCGUAAAGCGAGCGCAGGCGGUCAAUUAAGUCUGAUGUGAAAGCCCCCGGCUCAACCGGGGAGGGUCAUUGGAAACUGGUUGACUUGAGUGCAGAAGAGGAGAGUGGAAUUCCAUGUGUAGCGGUGAAAUGCGUAGAUAUAUGGAGGAACACCAGUGGCGAAGGCGACUCUCUGGUCUGUAACUGACGCUGAGGCUCGAAAGCGUGGGAAGCAAACAGG
RNAcentral lists this ribosomal RNA (429 nucleotides) under Bacteroidota bacterium. Its description in RNAcentral is "Bacteroidetes bacterium partial 16S ribosomal RNA". It matches the Rfam family "Bacterial small subunit ribosomal RNA", at positions 355 to 776 of the family's 1533-position model. Lineage: Bacteria; Pseudomonadati; Bacteroidota. The record is from RNAcentral.